Elaeis guineensis (African oil palm) is the source of this 635-nucleotide non-coding RNA. Lineage: Eukaryota; Viridiplantae; Streptophyta; Magnoliopsida; Arecales; Arecaceae. The record is from RefSeq and is a predicted model, not a curated record.
UCCAUCUCGCUAUCCCUGUUGAAGUGGGAGAAAGGGGGAAUCUUUUGGGGGAGGUCGAGCCGAGAGAGCGGAGCGAGAGAAAGAGAGGAAGCAGGAGAGAAGUCGAGCGAUGGCGAAGCCGCUGGGGCCGACGGGGGAGUUCUUCCGGCGGAGGGACGAGUGGAGGAAGCAUCCGAUGGUGGGCAACCAGCUGCGCCAGGCCCUCCCGGGCCUCGGCACCGCCCUUGUCGCCUUCGGCAUCUACCUCGUUGGCGAGGCCAUCUACAACCGCGUCCACCGAUCCGAUCCCCAUUCCUCUAACCACUGAAUCGAAAACCCUGAGGUGAAGGUGUGGGUGAAGAAAUGCAAUCUGGGCCUUCUAGCCUUUACUAUUUCAUCAUCUUCUUAUUGUAGUUUGAAGGGCACAUGAUCCUUGUCAGAGGAUUCCAUGUGCACCAGCCUUCAUAAUUCCAACCAGAGAUUCAUAUUACUGGUUUACUUCAACAUUUGUAUGGUCAAAUUUAUGAGACCUAAUGUGUUUGCCCUUUAUACUCUUGUACACCCCUGCUAGGCUACCAAGCAAGUAGCAUUUUAUGCAUGGUUGUGGUUGGAGAGGCUGAAUACAUAAUAUUUGUGUGCAAAUAAGGAUUAUCCGA